GGUAAACACCGUCAGCUAGAAUUACUAGCGGACGUAUUAAUGAUAAAUUUUGGACACUUAUGCCCUCCAAUUAGCUAAGACAAAUACAGAAACUACACAAUCUGCUAGACAUUCUAGCGGACGGAUGAAAAUCACAAUACAGGUCUUGCAAUCGUCCCUAGUUCUGCGACCCAUUUCUAUCUUCGAUCUUAGAAAUCUAUCUGUGUGGAAACUUUUCUUGAAUAAGGAAAGAUUAGAUCUUGGUGCCUCUAGUUCUGCGACUCAUUUCUAUCUUUGAUCUUAGAAAUCUAUUUGUGUGGAAACUUUUCUUGAAUAUGGAAAGAUUAGAUCUUGGUGCAGAGUAGCGAGAGAGGAGAAAGAUCUGAGAUGAGGAGAGAAGGUGUUGAUUGGUGCUUUACUUUUGGGACACGUCCAUUCUCCUACCGCAGUUUCCAUAGCUCGUUAUAGCUGCUGGGCGGUUUUUUUUUUUGUCUUUUUUUAUAUAUAUAAAUGAUAUUAAAUAUUUUGAUAAUAAUUUACUCCAUAGUCAGUGGAGGAUUCGUCCUAAUCGUGUGUACUGGGUUUUGUUGAGAUUUGUUUUGAAGUGUUAUGACUGAGGAAGGAAUUCAUGUGUACUGGGUUAACCACAGAUUUGUUUUGCAGUGUUAUGACUGAUACAGGAAUUCAUGUGUACUGGAUUUUGCUGAGAGUUG
This 692-nucleotide long non-coding RNA is filed under the name Panax ginseng (ginseng). Its description in RNAcentral is "long non-coding RNA (PGIN_LNC001826)". Lineage: Eukaryota; Viridiplantae; Streptophyta; Magnoliopsida; Apiales; Araliaceae. The record is from RNAcentral.